Molecule: long non-coding RNA, 333 nt
Filed under: Homo sapiens (human)
Lineage: Eukaryota; Metazoa; Chordata; Mammalia; Primates; Hominidae
Description: non-protein coding lnc-SP110-8:3
Source: RNAcentral
GUCUUGCAUGGAUACAUUUGAGCCUGCAUGUUGCGAUCUGUAUCCAAUGAUUGUAACUUCUGUAUUGUAUCCUUCAAUGAGAAAGGACAGCUCUGGUGUGAGGAGUCCCUCUCCCUUCUCCUAAACUCUUCUACAAAACAGGGGUUUCCAACUUCCGGGAUAAGGACCUGUACCAACUCAUGGCCUGUUAGGAAAUGGGCCACACAGCAGAAGCUCUCCAGGAACACAUCUUUGAAGACAAAAUGCCUCCAAGAUCCCCAGUACUGUAGCUCUUCUCCUGAAGCAACUAUUUCCAGCCUUGAAAGUUAUCAGCUCAGGAGAGGAAGCACUGCA